UACCCUCAAAUCCUCUUGUGGCAUGAAUCAGACCAAAAAUUUUCCAAAUCUUUCCACUUGACCACACAGAAAUUAGCAGAAAUGCAAACCACCAGAAGUGCAUGAGACGAGGCUGGCUAAGACAAGGAUUAAAUUAGACUGCCUUUGCCAGAAGACAGAAAGAAGUCAUUGCCAAAACAACAACAACAACAACAACAACAAAACAGUUAAAGAUAGUCAACUCCAGAGCACCAGCAAUAGCUAAGGCACUACAGUUAAUUUCAACCAUUGGCAGUAAACAACUUUAACAUGAUGACUAUUAGGCAACAAUCAUUUUAAGAAAGCUUCCCGGGUGACAGAGCCUGUGGUGACAGAAACUCAUUGAAAAAACUAAAGCCACAAAUACAAAGAAAGUGCAACUGAGCCCUAUGGAUUAAUGAGAUACACAAAUGCAAUUCAGAAGUACAAAACUUCACAGCUUGUUUUACUAUGUCAUCAACUACACAUUUGUAUUCCCUUCUAUUCGAUGUUGAUUAAUUCUAUUACAUCAUACACAAACAAUCCAGAAAGAAAAAGGAGGUGUAGAAGGAGGAGGAAAAGGAGAAUGAGGAGGUGGAGUAUAAGUGGAGAAAAGACAUUAAAGUAAAUUAAAUUACAUGGAACAAAAUGAAGACAUUAAAAGGCAUUAAGGUAAAUUAAAUUACGUGGUACAAGAUAAAGACAUUUGAUUUGUUAUUUGGGAACUCUAUGGUUUUCCGGCAGUUUGUU
Molecule: long non-coding RNA, 747 nt
Filed under: Rhinopithecus bieti (black snub-nosed monkey)
Lineage: Eukaryota; Metazoa; Chordata; Mammalia; Primates; Cercopithecidae
Description: lncRNA (ENSRBIG00000045913.1)
Source: RNAcentral